UAAUUUGACUCAACACGGGGAAACUCACUAGGGCAAGAGGGGGGUAGGAUCGACAGCCUAGCAGGGCUUUCCUGAUUCCCCCAGUGGUGGUGCAUGGUCGUUCUUAGUUCGUGGAUUGAUUUGUCUGGUCUAUUCCGCUAACGAGCGAGAACCCGCCCUUUGUGGUUGGGCCUCUGGGCACGCCUCCGGGGCUAGCUUCGUCACCGCAAGUAUGGCGGGGCAGGCGCCGGGGGCUGAAAACGCCCUUGGGCAUUCAGUCCGGAGGGACCGGCUCCGAUAAGGCGCCGGCAGCGGGUCAAUAACAGGUCAGUGAUGCCCUUAGAUGCUCUAGGCUGCACGCGCGCUACAAUGGGGCGAGCAUCGGGUCUCCUGUGCCUAACGGCGGCGGGUAAUCCGGUGAAAGCGCCCCGUAUCCGGGCUAGCGCCGUGUAAUCGGCGCUUAAACAAGGAAUUUCUAGUAGUCGCCCGUCACCAGCGGGCGACGAUUCUGUCCCUGCUCUUUGUACACACCGCCCGUCGCUCCUACCGAUUGGGCUGCAAGGUGAGUUGCCCGGAGGAGGCAGAGGUUCGUAGUGGGAUAUCAGGCGCCGAAGGGAGGCGAACCCUGCGGCCUAGAGGAAGGAGAAGUCGUAACAAGGUAU
This 641-nucleotide ribosomal RNA is filed under the name Trichia varia. Its description in RNAcentral is "bacterial SSU rRNA". It matches the Rfam family "Eukaryotic small subunit ribosomal RNA", at positions 1191 to 1802 of the family's 1831-position model. Lineage: Eukaryota; Evosea; Eumycetozoa; Trichiida; Trichiidae. The record is from RNAcentral.